UAAGCAUAUCAAUAAGCGGAGGAAAAGAAACCAACAGGGAUUACCUCAGUAACGGCGAGUGAAGCGGUAACAGCUCAAAUUUGAAAUCUGGGUCUUUCAGGCUCCGAGUUGUAAUUUGUAGAAGAUGCUUUGGGUGCGGCCCCGGUCUAAGUUCCUUGGAACAGGACGUCAUAGAGGGUGAGAAUCCCGUAUGUGAUCGGUGGCUUGCGCCCGUGUAAAGCUCUUUCGACGAGUCGGGUUGUUUGGGAAUGCAGCUCUAAAUGGGUGGUAAAUUUCAUCUAAAGCUAAAUAUUGGCCAGAGACCGAUAGCGCACAAGUAGAGUGAUCGAAAGAUGAAAAGGACUUUGGAAAGAGAGUUAAACAGUACGUGAAAUUGUUGAAAGGGAAGCGCUUGCAACCAGACUUGCGCGGGGUUGAUCAUCCGGGGUUCUCCCCGGUGCACUCGGCCUCGCUCAGGCCAGCAUCGGUUUCGGUGGUUGGAUAAAGGCCUUGGGAAUGUGACUUCUUUCGGGGAGUGUUAUAGCCCUCGGUGCAAUGCAGCCUACCGGGACCGAGGACCGCGCUUCGGCUAGGAUGCUGGCGUAAUGGUUGUAAGCGACCCGUCUUGAAACACGGACCAAGGAGUCUAACAUCUAUGCGAGUGUUUGGGUGUCAAACCCAUACGCGUAAUGAAAGUGAACGGAGGUGAGAACCCUUAAGGGUGCAUCAUCGACCGAUCCUGAUGUCUUCGGAUGGAUUUGAGUAAGAGCAUAGCUGUUGGGACCCGAAAGAUGGUGAACUAUGCCUGAAUAGGGUGAAGCCAGAGGAAACUCUGGUGGAGGCUCGCAGCGGUUCUGACGUGCAAAUCGAUCGUCAAAUUUGGGCAUAGGGGCGAAAGACUAAUCGAACCAUCUAGUAGCUGGUUCCUGCCGAA
This 913-nucleotide ribosomal RNA is filed under the name Pezicula sporulosa. RNAcentral describes it as "LSU rRNA". It matches the Rfam family "Eukaryotic large subunit ribosomal RNA", at positions 35 to 965 of the family's 3401-position model. Lineage: Eukaryota; Fungi; Ascomycota; Leotiomycetes; Helotiales; Dermateaceae. The record is from RNAcentral.